CCCCCCUCGAAGUUUUUAAAAUUUUCAAUGCCCCCCCCGUCCUCUCUAGAAUUCGGAAUCGAAGGAGUACAAUCCGGAAUUCUCUCUUAUCAUAGAUACAAUUUGCAGUUCCUCAAGAUGUCUGAUAUACUCAAGUGCUACUCAGUUCUUCUUCUUAACAAAACUACCGAUCUGCUGCUUCUUUCAUCUCACUAGCGCCAGAUGAAAUGGCACCGUCUUUAAAACAUUUUAAAUUGGCUCUAGGGGUGGAAUUAUCAACAAGUCGUUGUUGCCCAUCAUUGAGCGCAUUCGGAGUCUUGAACACAUUCAUGUAGUGGCCAGGAUUUCCUGGAUCAGGGUAAUGUGCUGGAACCUUACAGUAUGUUGCCCCCACCCAACGUAUCUCCCGGCAUCUGUUGCAAAUGUCUUUGCAUGCCUGUCAAAAAUGCAUGCAAAAGUGCCAGUAUGCUUUAAUUUCCAUCCCGUUUGUACGAAAUAUCCCAUAAACAUAGAACAUAUCAUUCUUGCAAAUUGUAUAUGCUUUUUUGCUUUUUGGCGCGUAAAUUACUUCACAAACCUGGCGCAAAAAAAAUUAAAAUAAGCUAUAGGUGAUUUCAUGUAUCCAUUUAGAAGAGCAGACUAAGGAUAUCUUGGACGUAGCAAAGCAUCUGACGUAGCAGGGACGUAGCAAAGCAUCUGACGUUUGGGGUGGGGGGGGGGGAUGUCAGAGGAUUAUACGUGUAAUAAUUAUAAUAAAGCUUUUUGUGAUUGAUUGGCACUCUUAUACUAAGUUUUGGGAGAAAAGGGGUGUCGGGGGGUCCUCCCCCAGAAAAGUUUUAC
This 819-nucleotide long non-coding RNA is filed under the name Paramuricea clavata. The record is from RNAcentral. Lineage: Eukaryota; Metazoa; Cnidaria; Anthozoa; Malacalcyonacea; Plexauridae.